This is a long non-coding RNA of Pyrus x bretschneideri (Chinese white pear), 3844 nucleotides long. RefSeq lists it as uncharacterized. NCBI's taxonomy places the organism in Eukaryota, Viridiplantae, Streptophyta, Magnoliopsida, Rosales, Rosaceae. The transcript is spliced from 13 exons. The record is from RefSeq and is a predicted model, not a curated record.
CAGGUUUAGUUUGAUUCCAACUCCUUUUUUUAGUUUAUUUGAAUAAAAAAUUGGUUGUUUUUUUAUUACUAUAGGGGAGUUGCAGGUGUCCAUGUCAGAUUCCUAAGGAAAAAGAACCAUUUUUGUGGAUAUAUUGAAACAUUGCAGUGGUUAAAGAAGAGUACAAGAAAAGUUCUGUUUAUUUCUUCAGAAAAGAUUAAGAAAGUUUCAGAUUGAAAAUUUCCAUUUAUUUACGAAAUUGCCACCCUUCAGCGCGCACGUGUCGACCAUCGUAGAAAGGUUGGGGGAUGGAAGCAAACCCAAUUUUGUUCCAGAGAUCUCUUCGACGACAAGCCCAUUUUGCUCCAGAGCUCUUCAACGACAAAGUCGAUUCGGCGCUUCACCAUCGCACACCUCGCCUUCCCCUCGCCGUCGCACACCUCGCCUUACCUCGCCGCCGCACUCCUUACCAGAACUCGAAUCAAUGGGAGAGAGGCGUGGGAUGGCAGGGAGGGGAAGGGAGAGGGAGGAAUGAGGCUGCCAAAAAGGGGGUUAGGGUUGAUUUUUUAUCCUCAAAUCAAUUGUUGGUGUCGGUGAUUGAACGAGCAUUGGUUAGAGGGGAACUUUCAUUUCCUUUGUUUCUGAACCGGAAUGGGGUCGAUGGGACCAUGCUCUGUUGCACGCUCAGAUGAGUGAUUUGAGGGAUUUGGGGGUAGGGAGAGUGAUUUCAGGGAUUGGUAAUCCCAUCCCGUGUUUUCCCCUCAUCUCUGUCACACUCAACCUCUCUCUAAUCCUUUCUCUUUCUCUCUCUUUUAGACUCUUCCUUUCUCCCAACUGUCCAUCUCUCUCAACUUUAGUGCUAACCCUAAUUUGUUAUUUCAUUCCUCAAUUUUCUCCAUCCGAGCAAUGAAAAAUCGAAUUGGGUUUUCAGAUUAUUGAAGCUUCACGGACAGAGAAUGGAGAGAGUUGAUUGAGGGAGUUGGUGAGUAUGGGCUUGCACAGAGGGAAGAACGCAGAAAGAGAGAGAGAGAGAGGGAGGGAACGACUGCACAGAGACAAGGAGAGAGACAGAGAGAGAUCGCAGAAAGAGGAGGAUGACAAAAAUUGAGGAGGAACCCAUGUCUGCAGAGAGUGAGACAAAAAACUACCAGGGAAGGAGAAAACUGCCAGGAAUGUAAAACCCAGACAGGAGAAGGCAAGCAAUGGUGGAGGAACCGAGGCUGUAGAUCUUUGAUAAAAGCACUGACAAUAUCAUCGCUCUUUCCAUUCCUUUAUUUUUUGAUUAGGGAUUUGCAUAUUGCUAAAAGAGAGGAAGACAUUGGCUAUUGUGCUGGAUAUGUAGCUGAGUUGAUGAUUGUCGCUACUUACCUUUUGUAUUCUUCACUGUUUUGUUCCUUAACAAGUUUCUUUCUUUGAAGGGGCUUCAUAGAUGCUUGGCAGAGUCCUGACAUCAAUUUUUUAGGGAAUGAUGGCUGAUAUUGACUCAGAUGAAGCCCCUAUUUAUAUAUCCUGAUCAUUUUAUGUUCUAUCUUUUCUGACUUGGAUGAUAUUGAUCAAAUGAAUGAGUUAAAAACUGAAAGUUACAUUUGUUCCAUCAAUAUGUUGAUCAAAUGGAUGAGUUAGAAGCUGAAAAUUACAUUUGUUUCUUGCUACUUUUUAUACUGAACAGAUUUUGUGUAUGUAUAGUGCUUUAUUUUCAAGGUUUUUUCUCUCAACACCAUGUGAAUGUACAAAUAGUUCUUUCCCAAUUCAACCAAUUUAAAAAUUGGGAUUUUAACUGAUGUUCGUCCAUGGUUCCUUACUUUCCAGAUAUUGAAACAUGCAUAAAUUCACCUGGAAAUUAUUCAUGUCAAUGUCCCAAAGGAUACAAACAUGAAGGCAUGGAUGAAAAGAGUUGUAUCAAAGAUAACAAAUGGUCAAAGGCCAUUCUCCUCAUUAUUUCAUUAGGGAUGCACGUUUUUUUUCUCAUGUUAAUAUAUUGCAUAUACAAGCCUAAAUUUAUUUUAUUGGAGCCACUUUUGGAUCCAAAAUUCUCAUAAAGUAUGUCAUUGAUGAAAGUUAUAUUCUGGUGUCUUUUAGUGAUCUUCAUGUUUUUCGUACAAAAUAAGAUUGUUAGCUUCUAUGGUAAGCAGUAUUAACUAUUAGGGAUUUGUUUUCAUAUUGCAUGAAAUUUCCACUUUUUUCAUCUUUGAAUAGUCUCAAGCACGGUAAAUAUAAUAGCACUAUAAAGUGAGGAAAUCCACUUUCUUUGGUCAGGUUGGAUUCUCUACUAUGACUACCAUUUUUAUGUCUAAACAAAUUUUUAAUGGUAUGUAUGAUAUAAAAGGGUAGAUUUAACUAUUUUGGUUUCUUUGUUCUCACGCUUUGGUGCCUCGAGUUUUAAUUUUUCAUAGUUGUGUCUGAGUUGUUUUCCAGUUGCAAUUCGGGUGCCAUUGGCAACUUCUAGGGGACCAAAAUUGUUUUCAGGUCAAAAUACAGGAACCAAAUUGUAACUAGACUAGGAGAUUACAUUACCAAAGUAGGAAAGUUCUGUCUUGAUUCAUAGUUUGGCAACAUAAUAUGUAUGUAGGAUGAUGUUUUGGAACCGCUUGGUAAGUGUUUAAUACAUCCUAUAACAUGACUGACUAACAAGCAUGGUCGUUCAGAUAUACAUGCAAUUGAGAUCAUUGAUUAAAUCAGAUUUCUUUUAAAUGGAAGCAAAUCUUGCCUAUUAGGUGUUUGUGAAAAUUCCCCAGAGAGUUAGAAACAAGGAUAUGAUGCAAAUCUGAAUGUAGGCUGUUUUGGUAUGUGUGUGUACGUAUAGGGGUGUUAUAUUGAUUUGACAUGCUGCCUAAUUUAUCUAUUUUUCGAUUGUUCGAUCAAAGAAGGAAGUUCAAUUUAUCAAGGAUCAAGGUUUGGACUACUAGACAGCACGCCGAUUUCGGUUUGAGGUUCAACAACAGGUUGCUGAAAUGAUCACUUAUAUAGCCUCUACUGCAAAACAAUUUCCUAAGAAAUGUGUAUUACUUUGUCUUCUGGGUAUAUGUGAAUGGCUUACAGAGUUUUUCUGAAUCUGUAGAUCCAGUGGGCCCUCAUGACACUGUUAUAUCCAAACCAAAGUUUGGCGAAUUUGAUAUGUGUUGGAUACAAUGGCAGUCCUGCUUAAGCUAUCCAUGUUACUAGAAGAAGAUCAGAAGAUCAUAAAAGGCAAAAAACAGAAAGAAAUGUUAGCUGCUUCGUUUUUUGUCCUAAAAAUGCAGAAAAAUCCCCUCUUUUAAAUUCAUUCAUAGGAAGGCCUUUCUCAAAGAGCGAGACUAUACCUACUGGUGAGCGUUAUGCAGUGAAUGUCAUUAACCAGAUUGGGGACUUCCUUAAUCGUUUAGAAGCGCAGCCAACGAUGUGAGAGCAGAAGGGUAGCAAGCAUGUGAGUGCGGAAGACUUAGCUGCUUGAACAAGAACGACUGCUGCAGGGCGUUCUACAUGUUUUUGGCUUUCAACAUUAUUGCUUCAAGACUUAGCUGCUUGAACAAGAACGAAACACCAUCUUAACUGCAAGGAAAAAUAUGUGUGGACUGGAUGUUAAUUCUGUUUCUUACUGAAACAGGCGUCCUGCAUGUUUUUUGCUUUGCACGUUUGUGCUUGAAAACUUUGAUGCUAGAAUAAGAACGAAACAGUUUUUAUGUUGCCUAACCUAUAGGAUAUAUAUUUUGCCACAUUGACUACAGGGGCAAGAUUUGUGUGAACUGUAUGUUACUUCUGUUAUUAGGGAACCAAAACGUUCAGUUUCGUCCUGUUCAUUGUUUAAUGUCUUUUCAUGUCAGCUCAGUUGAAUGUAUAUAAAAACGAAGCUGCAUAUCGUACUAAUCUCAUUCACUCAUUUAUCCCU